Puccinia sorghi is the source of this 84-nucleotide transfer RNA. It matches the Rfam family "tRNA". Rfam says of the family: Transfer RNA (tRNA) molecules are approximately 80 nucleotides in length. Their secondary structure includes four short double-helical elements and three loops (D, anti-codon, and T loops). NCBI's taxonomy places the organism in Eukaryota, Fungi, Basidiomycota, Pucciniomycetes, Pucciniales, Pucciniaceae. The record is from Rfam.
GGCUUCGUAAUUCAGUGGUAGAAUGCCUGCUUUACAUGUUACGCAAAUCGCAGUAUGCCGUGGGUUCGAACCCCACCGAGGUCA